This 85-nucleotide transfer RNA is filed under the name Felis catus (domestic cat). It matches the Rfam family "tRNA". From Rfam's summary of the family: Transfer RNA (tRNA) molecules are approximately 80 nucleotides in length. The record is from Rfam by way of RNAcentral. RNAcentral also lists the same sequence under 3 other names. Lineage: Eukaryota; Metazoa; Chordata; Mammalia; Carnivora; Felidae.
GCCUGGGUGGCUCAGUUGGUUGAGCGUCUGACUUCAGCUCAGGUCAUGAUCUUGUGAUUUGUGACUUUGAGCCCCACAUCAGGCU